RNAcentral lists this long non-coding RNA (506 nucleotides) under Linum usitatissimum (flax). Its description in RNAcentral is "long non-coding RNA (LUSI_LNC006611)". The record is from RNAcentral. Lineage: Eukaryota; Viridiplantae; Streptophyta; Magnoliopsida; Malpighiales; Linaceae.
CGACAUAUUCUAGAUUUUAGAUCUAGUAUUUACUAAUUCCCCACCUAACUGCAGUCAAUAACUUGAAUUAUUAAUGAAGAGGGAGGCAUGAUAAUUACAUAAAAUAUCUAGGGUGCGUGACCUUUUGCAAAUGAAGCUUAUCGUCCAAGUAUUAGAGGACUUGAGAAGAGCUCAGCGUUGCUUUUGCCCAACAGAGGAGGAUCUAGAUGCCUGAGCUUGGACAUCCAAUCCAACAGCUUCGUUUACUUCGUCAUUGACUUGGUUUUUGGCAGAGGAUCUAGGUUAUUCCUGGAAAUUUUAUAGCAAGAGAUGAAUUGAGUAGCAGAAUUGUGAGAUCGUGUAGUAACAGAUAACGGAAAUGAACAGGAUGCCCUGCUGCAGAAUAAAGCAUAUCUAUGAGGCGCACCUUCUUAACGACCCUUGAGAUAGAAAGGGGACGCAGCAGCUAAGCGUGAACACAGAUCUUAACAUCCACCAUGUUAAGGCCGUCCGCAAGAAUGCAUACC